GAUGAAGAACGUAGCGAAAUGCGAUAAGUAAUGCGAAUUGCAGAAUUCAGUGAAUCAUCGAAUCUUUGAACGCACAUUGCGCCCGCUAGUAUUCUGGCGGGCAUGCCUGUCCGAGCGUCAUUUCAACCCUCAAGCCCCCGGGCUUGGUGUUGGAGAUCGGCGAGCCCCCCGGGGCGCGCCGUCUCCCAAAUAUAGUGGCGGUCCCGCUGUAGCUUCCUCUGCGUAGUAGCACACCUCGCACUGGGAAACAGCGUGGCCACGCCGUAAAACCCCCCACUUCUGAAAGGUUGACCUCGGAUCAGGUAGGAAUACCCGCUGAACUUAAGCAUAUCAAUAAGCGGAGGA
This 345-nucleotide unclassified non-coding RNA is filed under the name soil metagenome. RNAcentral's name for it is "partial contains 5.8S ribosomal RNA, internal transcribed spacer 2, and large subunit ribosomal RNA". The stretch from base 1 to 120 matches the Rfam family "5.8S ribosomal RNA", at positions 35 to 154 of the family's 154-position model. The record is from RNAcentral.